AUUGAACGCUGGCGGCAGGCUUAACACAUGCAAGUCGAGCGGGGGAAGGUAGCUUGCUACUGGACCUAGCGGCGGACGGGUGAGUAAUGCUUAGGAAUCUGCCUAUUAGUGGGGGACAACAUCUCGAAAGGGAUGCUAAUACCGCAUACGUCCUACGGGAGAAAGCAGGGGAUCUUCGGACCUUGCGCUAAUAGAUGAGCCUAAGUCGGAUUAGCUAGUUGGUGGGGUAAAGGCCUACCAAGGCGACGAUCUGUAGCGGGUCUGAGAGGAUGAUCCGCCACACUGGGACUGGAACACGGCCCAGACUCCUUCGGGAGGCAGCAGUGGGGAAUAUUGGACAAUGGGGGGAACCCUGAUCCAGCCAUGCCGCGUGUGUGAAGAAGGCCUUAUGGUUGUAAAGCACUUUAAGCGAGGAGGAGGCUACUUUAGUUAAUACCUAGAGAUAGUGGACGUUACUCGCAGAAUAAGCACCGGCUAACUCUGUGCCAGCCGCCGCGGUAA
Molecule: ribosomal RNA, 501 nt
Filed under: uncultured bacterium
Lineage: Bacteria
Description: partial 16S ribosomal RNA
Rfam family: Bacterial small subunit ribosomal RNA
Source: RNAcentral